CAGCAGUGGGGAAUUUUGGACAAUGGGCGCAAGCCUGAUCCAGCCAUGCCGCGUGCAGGAUGAAGGCCUUCGGGUUGUAAACUGCUUUUGUACGGAACGAAAAGACUCCUUCUAAUAAAGGGGGUCCAUGACGGUACCGUAAGAAUAAGCACCGGCUAACUACGUGCCAGCAGCCGCGGUAAUACGUAGGGUGCGAGCGUUAAUCGGAAUUACUGGGCGUAAAGCGUGCGCAGGCGGUUAUAUAAGACAGAUGUGAAAUCCCCGGGCUCAACCUGGGAACUGCAUUUGUGACUGUAUAGCUAGAGUACGGUAGAGGGGGAUGGAAUUCCGCGUGUAGCAGUGAAAUGCGUAGAUAUGCGGAGGAACACCGAUGGCGAAGGCAAUCCCCUGGACCUGUACUGACGCUCAUGCACGAAAGCGUGGGGAGCAAACAGGAUUAGAUACCCUGGUAGUCCACGCCCUAAACGAUGUCAACUGGUUGUUGGGUCUUCACUGACUCAGUAACGAAGCUAACGCGUGAAG
This 522-nucleotide ribosomal RNA is filed under the name uncultured bacterium. RNAcentral describes it as "bacterial SSU rRNA". It matches the Rfam family "Bacterial small subunit ribosomal RNA", at positions 349 to 864 of the family's 1533-position model. The record is from RNAcentral.